This 483-nucleotide ribosomal RNA is filed under the name uncultured bacterium. RNAcentral's name for it is "partial 16S ribosomal RNA". It matches the Rfam family "Bacterial small subunit ribosomal RNA", at positions 899 to 1397 of the family's 1533-position model. The record is from RNAcentral.
ACUCAAAUGAAUUGACGGGGACCCGCACAACCAGUGGAGCGUGUUGUUCAAUUCGAUACGAAGCGAAAAACCUCACCAGGGCUUGACAUGUAACUGCAAAUCCCGUGAAAGCGGGACUCUUUCGAAGGUGUUACACAGGUGCUGCAUGGCUGUCCUCAGUUCGUGCCGUGAGGUGUUCCCUUAAGUGGGGAAACGAACGCAACCCCCAUCUAAUGUUAUAUAUUCAUUAGAGACGGUCCCAAUUUUUGGGAAGGAAGGCGGGGUAGAUGUCAAGUCAGCAUGGUCCUUAUGCCCUGGGCUACAAACACCCUACAAUGGCGAAAAACAACGGGCUGCAAGCACGCAAGUGUAAGCUAAUCCCUUAAAUUUCGCCUCAGUUCAGAUUGGGGUCUGCAACCUGACCCCAUGAAGUUGGAAUUGGUAGUAAUCGCGGAUCAGCAGGCCGCGGUGAAUACGUUCUCGGGUCUUGUACACACCGCCCGU